This 1617-nucleotide long non-coding RNA is filed under the name Triticum aestivum (bread wheat). RNAcentral's name for it is "long non-coding RNA (TAES_LNC016717)". Lineage: Eukaryota; Viridiplantae; Streptophyta; Magnoliopsida; Poales; Poaceae. The record is from RNAcentral.
UACCAUCGUCCCUGUCGCCGUCGCAUCAGUUCCACACCGCUACAGCGCUGCCUACCACCGCACUCCAUUGGCUUGGAUUUGUUUGUGGCAUGGGCUGGGAACUGUACGGUGUUGUCUGAUGCAUGUUCCGCACUGGGAGGUUUGGUCGGCUGACGCUAGGUUUGUUUCUGAUGUGGCUACUCUGGAAUACAAUUUAUGGGCGAGAGAUCAGACUUUCAGGUUGGGUGCGGUAUUAUAUCUCAUCAGAUUCAGUAACCAGCGUGGAAUUAAUUUUAAUUUUGUUCUUCAUCAGAUAAGUAGAGCCAUGCUUUACCCCAAUCUUCAUUUUAUGAAUCUCAACUUCAAAAAUCAUGAUAGUUGCACUGUAUUUUGUUGAGUCCAACACAAAGCUGAGAGCAGAGUACCUACUUUGUCUUGGUAAGCCAAAUAGUUGGUACUUGCUGAGGCUACAAAAUUAUCUUAAUUGUUCCAUUUAGUAGUUCACUGAAUAUUAAACAAUGCUGUUUCUUCCACUGGGGAGUUGUUUUAUGUAGCCCGAACAACAAACAGCCUAUGAACUUCUAAACCAAUUCUUUUUUUUAUUAGGACCCUGCUCUUUUAACUGAAAAACUGGGAGCACUAGCAGUUCUUCACAAGGUAAUCACCUCCUAUGAAUGUUUGGUGGUGCUGCUCCAAUUUCUAUUGCAGUGCUUCUGAUGUAUGAAUGGAUUAUUUUCCUCAUUUGCUAAUUAAUGCAACUGGCGUAAUUCUUCAUGAGAAUAGAUAUUUUUGUAGUGCACAGUAUGAUGUUUUUAGUUACCCUCCUUAUGAAUAGAUUUUUUGUAGUGCACAGUACAAUAUUUUUGUCAGGGUUGCAUGUUGCUUGCUACUGCUACUGCUUGUACAAUUGUGUUUUUUUGUAAUAUUUCUUAACUGUUAAGAGAUAUGGCCACACUGAGAUUUUGCUAUGGGCAGGAAAGUGGAUUGGACAAUGCCGCUAGUUCGGAUGGCGCCCCAUAUGGUUGUCGACCAUGGGCGACGUGAGGAGGGACAAGGUAGAGAAAGGGGGUCAGGUUGGCGCCACAUUAGAGGUGAGCGAGGGGGCCGGGGUUGCGUCGCUGCAGAGAUGCGCGAGGGGAUCGGAGCUGCCAAGCGGAUUAAUCAGAGCACUUCGCUCCUGCUGCCUUUGGCCUGAUGCUUAGAUGGAUUGAUGCGUAAGUUUGAAUCCUUUCAUUUUUCACUUCUCUAAUGGGUGGCUGAUGGCCUGAUGCUUUGAUGGAUCGAUGCAUGCUAGAACUGGCUGAUAUGUGCGUGUGUGUGCACAUUUUUUUCUUUUGAUUUUUGUAGAGAUUGGCUCAUGCUUCUCUGCUUAUGGAUUUCUUCUUUCUUCUGUCUGUGUUUCUCACUCUGUUGUUGAAUGAUCUGGUGAUUUUUUUUCUUUGUGGGCUUAUCUGAUGAAAUUUACUGCUACUUAGAUUGUGCACUGACACUGCCACCAGAAGAUAGAUCAUAGAUGCAUGUGUUUGCUUUCGAACAUGGUGCGUAAUCUUGUGGUUUGCCAACUGUCACCUCCGGCAAUUUCAGUUCAACAUGUCUUGGUUUUUGCAUUCUGAGUUCAGAGUUCUACAUAGUGGAAUG